AAUACAGAGGAGAUUAAAGUGAAUGAAGCCUAGGGACCCAAGGCAUUGGAAGGUGGGUAUUUAGCCAUGGCAAAGGCUUGUGAGAACAGUUAUUGGCCCAUCCAGCUGUCAUGUAGCAAUCUGAUAAAACUGAAACUUUUUAUGUGCCUUAUCUAAGAAAACCUAGUUGGCACUUUACAUUUGAUAUCUCAUUGAAUGUUUCCGAUAAACUCAUAUUAUUAUUAGUCCCAUCCUACUGAUGAAGAAAGAAACUUAGAGAAUUAACACAACUAUGACUUGCUAAAGCUGGGAUUGAGCCCUGAUUUCUCUGACUUCAAAUUCUAUGGUCCAUGUUCUAGAUCAAUUGAUCCUUUUACCCACUGCCUUUAAGUUAAUAAAUAUGGGCAUUUUAUUUUAUAAAAAUAUUUUUUCUUGUUCAAACAAAGAAUCGAGACAUCUUCCAAUAGUCAAACCUCUUUUACAGUCCAGGAUAUUCCAUCUAUCUUAUUAUUUCUGGGGUAGAAUAGAGAAGUUUAGGCCAGAACAGUUCAGAGAAAUAUAACUAUCUCUUUUCCCUCAGUUUAAAGAAAAAUCUUGGCCACAGUUCAAUAUUUGCAUAUUGCCUUUUAAUCUUCUUUAUUAUUAAAAAAACAUUUAGCAGAUAUUUCUAAACUCAGGGAGAAAAACACAUUUAAACUUUUUAAAAUUGCAACAACCCCAUUUGCUUUUUUAAAUGCCUUGAAAAACAAAUUAAAUUGAAGACAAAAAUUGUCAACUGCUAGCAGUUCCUUCGAGAGUCACGUUGGAAUGGGUAGACUGUCAUCCUCUAAAUCCUCAGCAAUUGGGUUAGAAUGGAGCCCUGUCUCACUUGACCGCCCUUUUGUUUUACUGGUGGAGAAUCAAUCCAAGUGCUAAACAACCAGAAUGGUGUCUUCUAAGAGACCCAGCCUGACAUCUUAUUCUGUGCAAAUGAGUAUAAGGUGGUGAAGAAUGUGAACGGAUGUCUUGGUUUGAAUAUUUUCCAAAAGUAGAAUUUAUGAGGCUAUUGAAAUACUGCUAGACAAGAAUUAUGGCCUAUGCAUUUCCAAGCUGAGAAAUUUAAGAUAGAUUAGAAUGAAACCUCUGCGAUCAGAGCUGUUAACAAGGAGGCUUCUCACCAAUAAGCAAAAUAUUAUGGUAGUCUUGGUGGGGCGGCAGUGGCAGCCAGCUCUUUUUGGCAGAACAGGAAGUGGAUUUAGCAUUUUUAUUCCAAGUUCAUCAAAGUACAGUGCUUUGUAAAUGCUAUCAACUUUUUAUUCAUUCUACUUUUGAAAUCAUGUUGAGGGAAAGGAAUUAUCUUCAACUGCCAAGUAAGGAAGAGUGGGAAGUGGAGGUGAAAUUCAGGUUAUCAUAAUAAGUUAGGAAUUUGGGCCAGAAUGUGGUCUUCCCGAUGCCCAGUAUUUAUCAUUUUACACCUUUCAGUAUACUCUCUGAUGAGAAAUGCUGAUGACUUCAGCACUGGAGAAUCUACCAGCCUGCUGCAUAGCUUGUGAAAUUACAGCUUACUCUUCUAGGAAGUAGACAGGGGUUUCUGAGCUUGGGCAUUUACUUCUUGGGAUCAAUCAAUUCUUCUUUUUUGAAGAAAACUUCUGCAAGAGAUCAUAGCAACAUUCUCCAGCUAUGUUUCUCUCACAAUUCAUGAAAAGAAAAACAUAACUACAUUUAGUCUAUAGAAAAAUCAGUCCAUAAAACCUUGUUUUGAGCUAUCCUACUGCUCAUCUUCAAAGGUAGGAUAGUUCCUAAUAUUCGAGUACUCAGUUUUGAGUUGAGUUUGAGUUUUAAUUUCUCAGUUUUGUGCAAAAUUAUUCCUAUAAAUGACUAUACUCUCACACAAUUUUAUUUUUAUUGAUGGUGGUGAUCAUUUCUUGCUUUUUUUUUUUUUUUCAUUUCUUCUUUUGUUUUUGUUUUCAAUGUUUAGCUUUACUUACUGAUACUAAGUAAAUAAAGUGACAAGCUCUAUAAUCUUAGGCAUAGUACACUGAGCAUUGCUGAAAACAAAUCUAUAUCAAACUAACCUUCCUAGAGAAGGUAAGCACAAGUCAUUGGUUUAAUCACUGCAUUCCAUAAAGGGAGAUUCACUUAACCAGCUUUCCUCUCAGUGCCAGGAAAUCAGCUCAAAGUAUUUUUAUUCAGAUAAGUGAACAUGCUUGUCAUAGCUUACUUAUGCCUGUUAAAUCUUUCUAUGAAAUAUUUUACAGAGAAAUAUGUAAAUAUUUUGACUGCUUAUGCCAUUCUUUUCAGACGGCUUUGCAGAUUACAUGUGGAUCUCUAUAUGAAGCAAGAAGGAAAAGCAAGCAGAAAUUUCUUAAUGCAGCAUUUGGAAUCUUAGUGUAAAUAGCCAAGAAGAGUAAUAUAUUAUUCCUUGAAAUGGCCUCAAAGUGAUACCAGUGAAUGGAAAUACAUUAUGAGUUUUCAGGACAGCACGUUCCCCUACUGACGGCAGAUAAGUAAACCAGUAAGGAGCAGAGUAUCUGCCACAAAUACAUUAGCACAGACUUUGUAUGUAGCAAGACUUAUAUGAGUUUGCUACAUUUUACAUGAACAAAGGUCUAUAAACCAGCCUUUCCUUUCAUUUUUGAAAUGCAUGCUCUUUACAACCUAUAAUUAACAGAUGUGACAUACAUACAUAUAUGGAGUAGAGAAAAGUGAGGGAAUUUUCUCCAGGCAUUCUCAUUAAAUGUAGAAAGACUUUACUCCAGUUGUUAUUUAAUUUGGGUUUUUUUUCAUGAUUAUUAUUGAAGAAAUAAGAUGAUAUUGACAAGACUUGACGAUCAAUGUCAUAGUAUAAUUAUGCCACUUCCACUAUCUGAGAUGACAUAGUUGUGGAUGUUUUUUAACAUCAAAAGACUAUAUUUUCUAUUUUUCCAGUGGAACACUUUUUUUUUUCAGUUUUGCAAGUUAUACAUGCAAACGUAUGACUUAACUGAGAAAAGCAUCCCAUCACUAGAACUUGCUCAUGACUGGAGCUGAAUGAAAUGUCAACCUGGGUUCCUGGUUUAAAGCAACAGAAACCAUCUCUGGCCUUAACCAAAAGGAUAUGCAUUGGAAAGAUAGCAGUGAUGCCCAUAUUAACCAUUGACUGGUAGCAUCAGGCUUAGGAAAAUGUAGCUUGGCUGUCCAGACUGCAGGGAGGGCAGUCAAAGUCACCCUGCAGCAACUGUCUAUUCCACGGACUUCUGUGAUGGUUGGAAUCACCUGACUUCCCUUACCUUUCCUUAUUAUUCUUUUCACUUCCCAUCCAAGAUUCAGAGCUCCAGAACAAGUGCCUUAUCAACAAAGCCUGGCUCGUUGGCCUGUUCUGUGGUACAGCCAGGAGUGGUAGAGGUAGACCCCUGUUUCUGUGGUUUGUGAUAGGAGCAGUAAUAGGAAGCAAGCCCUGGGAACUGGCUUACAACUAUGUUGGCACACAGUGAGGAACUGAUACAAAUAGUGGGGAGUGAAUUACAGUCAGCUGAAGAAUGACAAAUAUCUACCCCGAAUAAAUAUUGCCUUGUGAGUCAUGAUGUGUCUUUAUUGGACUUUUUUUUUUAAUCACUGAACACUAUGAGACCGUGGAUAAGUCCCUUUUGCUGGCUAUUCCUCAGUCUUUAAAAUAACAAUUUUGAUUUAGAGCAAGAUUGGGAGGAAGAUGGCACUUACAUUGUCUUUCUCUUAGGUUCCAUAGUAGACAUCAUUAAUCAAUCCCUGUAUUCUUUUCUUCUGAGACCAGACACGACCUUAGAAUCCUUCUCAAUGUAGUGUUUUGGAGCAACUACCAAAUUAUUAGAGUUGACAAAUGAGCUAAACCUUGCAAAUAUCUCUGAACUAGAGGCUAAUUACAUUUUCUUCAAGUGUUAAUGUGCUCUAAAGUUCUAGGACUAAGAAGUAGUAUUAGUUCAAUUAUUUUAGAAAAGUAGAAAGAAACUAGACCAGGUGGGAACAGACCCAUAAAGUAGUGAUCUCAGUAAUAUCGGAUUGAAGUAAAAGAAAAUAUUUUCAAAUUUGACUGGGUUUCAUUAUGAAUGUUGAGAUGUUGGAAGAACACUUUGUUUCAUUGUAGAAUGUGUUGUUCCUCCCCUGUCAUCAAUGUAAGAAAAGUCCUGAGUUCAUAAAGACCAUUCGUUAAAUAAUAGAAAAAUAAAAUAUUGCUCUGAGGUUUAAAACUAUGAAUUAUAUUAUUGAGAGUAAAUGAAUAUAACAUUAUAUUUUAAAGGUAAAGAAAUUACCCAUUAAAGAUGAAUUAUAUUAUUCAUGGUAAAGGAACUACUAUCGGUAGUCUUUUAAAAUUUAUAGAAUUCAAGAUCUGAAAUAAGUCCAAAAAUCUAUCCUAGAAGUCACUAGGAUAUAUUACUAAACCUGAUAGCUAUUGUGACCAAGUGAACAUAUUUCUUUAGUAUUGUUUUGUUAUCUAUUUUAAGAGUGAGUCUUUGUAUUUAGAUCUUUUUUUAACAUCUCAAGCUACUAUAUAAACUAGUUGGACUUCAAUUUAGGGCCACUAACACCAGAUGGAAUGACUACAGAACAGGAAUUUCUAGUCUCCAACUAGUGAACAGCACUCCUUCUCCACCCAAGAAGUUUCUAUUGUCUUCCACUGGGCUAUGUUUUUAUUAAUGUACACAUCAAAUUUUCUUUUUGGAAUGAUAAUGACUUGUAAUAUGGCCUUAAAUCAUACCAGGAAAAUAGCUCUCUAAUUCUAGGGUAAUUUCUGAUACCAAGAAAUAAUGUCUUCCAAAACAAUUUUUGGACACUGGCUUUCUGUAGGGUACCUAGAUUGAGGUUAGUUUCUCAACCAUUCUUCCCCUGUGGUUUCUAUGGCAGAUUGCAAAAGGACCCCAAACUUCUCCAUCCUAUAUGCAUGUCUUUAACAAUGUAAUUUAAUCAAGAGAAGUGGAGUUUAUUUCUCUACCCCUUGAUUCUGAUCUGGCCACAAAAACUUUCGCCAAAAGUGUUUGCUUUGCCUAAAGGAAUUUUAGCAAAUGUGAUGCAAGCAGAUUCUUGAAAAGUGCUUACUUACACUUUGGGGUAUCUUCUUGCUGUUUUGGGGAGCACUAAGCCCACCCAUGCAAAUUAGUUUAUGCUAGCCUUCUGGAUAAUUAGAAAUACAUGUUCAAAUUAUCUCCAUCGCUCUUGUUAACAUAGAGUCAAUCAUCAGUCAUGUCAGUGAGGCCAUCCAACACCACUCAGCCCUAUCUGAGCUGACCUGGUAUAAACUAACUGCCCAGU
RNAcentral lists this long non-coding RNA (5220 nucleotides) under Sus scrofa (pig). Its description in RNAcentral is "lncRNA (ENSSSCG00000060387.1)". The record is from RNAcentral. Lineage: Eukaryota; Metazoa; Chordata; Mammalia; Artiodactyla; Suidae.